CAACACGUCGCACCCGACGCCUUCGCACCCGCAACGGGUGCCUCGGUCGUCGGGGCGGAGAUUGGCCUCCCGUGCGCCCGCCGGCGCGCGGUUGGCCUAAAGAGGGAGAUCAUGGCGACGAGGGCCACGGCGUUAGGUGGUUGGUUGUCCCGGGCUUUAUCCCGGGCACGGAUCACGCCGUGCGCCUUAGGCCGUCCGUGCUUCUCGUAGGGCCUUGAAGAAGCCGCUCGCACGGCUUUACGGAU
Molecule: unclassified non-coding RNA, 245 nt
Filed under: Tamarix usneoides
Lineage: Eukaryota; Viridiplantae; Streptophyta; Magnoliopsida; Caryophyllales; Tamaricaceae
Description: ITS2
Source: RNAcentral